This 825-nucleotide ribosomal RNA is filed under the name Cercosporella virgaureae. Its description in RNAcentral is "eukaryotic LSU rRNA". It matches the Rfam family "Eukaryotic large subunit ribosomal RNA", at positions 71 to 925 of the family's 3401-position model. Lineage: Eukaryota; Fungi; Ascomycota; Dothideomycetes; Mycosphaerellales; Mycosphaerellaceae. The record is from RNAcentral.
GGGAUUGCCCUAGUAACGGCGAGUGAAGCGGCAACAGCUCAAAUUUGAAAUCUGGCGCAAGCCCGAGUUGUAAUUUGUAGAGGAUGCUUCUGGGCAGCGGCCGGUCUAAGUUCCUUGGAACAGGACGUCAUAGAGGGUGAGAAUCCCGUAUGUGACUGGCGCGCACCCUCCACGUAGCUCCUUCGACGAGUCGAGUUGUUUGGGAAUGCAGCUCUAAAUGGGAGGUAAAUUUCUUCUAAAGCUAAAUACCGGCCAGAGACCGAUAGCGCACAAGUAGAGUGAUCGAAAGAUGAAAAGCACUUUGGAAAGAGAGUUAAAAAGCACGUGAAAUUGUUGAAAGGGAAGCGCCUACAACCAGACUUCGCGGCAGUGUUCCGCCGGUCUUCUGACCGGUCCACUCUCUGUCGCGAGGCCAUCAUCGUCUGGGCCCGUCGGAUAAGACCUUGGGAAUGUAGCUCACCUUCGGGGGAGUGUUAUAGCCCAUGGUGAUGCGACGCGGCCCGGGCGAGGUCCGCGCUUCGGCAAGGAUGAUGGCGUAAUGGUUGUCGGCGGCCCGUCUUGAAACACGGACCAAGGAGUCUAACAUCUAUGCGAGUGUUCGGGUGUCAAACCCCUACGCGUAAUGAAAGUGAACGGAGGUGGGAACCGCAAGGUGCACCAUCGACCGAUCCUGAUGUCCUCGGAUGGAUUUGAGUAAGAGCAUAGCUGUUGGGACCCGAAAGAUGGUGAACUAUGCCUGAAUAGGGUGAAGCCAGAGGAAACUCUGGUGGAGGCUCGCAGCGGUUCUGACGUGCAAAUCGAUCGUCAAAUUUGGGUAUAGGGGCG